This 1195-nucleotide long non-coding RNA is filed under the name Salmo salar (Atlantic salmon). RNAcentral's name for it is "lncRNA (ENSSSAG00000119289.1)". The record is from RNAcentral. Lineage: Eukaryota; Metazoa; Chordata; Actinopteri; Salmoniformes; Salmonidae.
AGCCAGCACCUCUCCUAAACAGGUGUUCUACUCUGCUAGCCAGCACCUCUCCUAAACAGGUGUUCUACUCUGCCAGCCAGCACCUCUCCUAAACAGGUGUUCUACUCUGCUAGCCAGCACCUCUCCUAAACAGGUGUUCUACUCUGCCAGCCAGCACCUCUCCUAAACAGGUGUUCUACUCUGCUAGCCAGCACCUCUCCUAAACAGGUGUUCUACUCUGCUAGCCAGCACCUCUCCUAAACAGGUGUUCUACUCUGCCAGCCAGCACCUCUCCUAAACAGGUGUUCUACUCUGCCAGCCAGCACCUCUCCUAAACAGGUGUUCUACUCUGCUAGCCAGCACCUCUCCUAAACAGGUGCACUACUCCGCUAGCCAGCACCUCUCCUAAACAGGUGUUCUACUCUGCUAGCCAGCACCUCUCCUAAACAGGUGUUCUACUCUGCCAGCACCUCUCCUAAACAGGUGUUCUACUCCGCUAGCCAGCACCUCUCCUAAACAGCUUCCCGUCCCUCUCCUCGCCCCAACCUGGGCUUGAACCAGAGACCUUCUGCACACAUCGAUAACAGCCACCCCACGAAGCAUCGUUACCCAUCGCUCCACAAAAGCCGCGGCCCUUGCAGAGCAAAGGGGAAACAACUACUUCAAGGUCUCAGAGAGAGUGACGUCACCCGAUUGAAACGCUAUUAGCGCGCACCACCGCUAACUAGCUAGCCAUUUCACAUCGGUUACACCAGCACAAGUCAAGAUUCUAAAAUGGAUAAUUUAGGAACACAUAGUCUUAUGACCUGUUACAAUGAAAACAUGCCGUCCAUCUCUAUCGUUGUCAAAUCUGUGAUUGGCUGAAAGCGGAAGAAGGAAUGCACAGCUGAAUAUGUGCGUGUACAAUUUUUUUUUUUUAAGUACUGUAUUUUCAGCUCUUAUGAUGUUUCUGGGCGUUUCUGUUUCCUUUUUUUUUAGUAAGUAACGAUGUGAAUUAACUGAAAGAAUAUUCUAGUGUGACAGUGUUCUAGUCUAGUCAUGACGUUUGCGUUUUUUUAAUGUAAAAUGUUUUUUGUUGUACUGUAUGUGUGUUUAUAGUUGUGUUAGUGUAUGUAAGUUGUUUUGUCUGAAACGUUGUUCCCUCUGCUACUAUUGGACCAGGUCUCUCUUGGAAAAGAGAUGUUAUCUCAAUGAGAGAAAACCUGUAUAAAUAAAG